CAGGUGCAGCGCAGCCUCUGGUUCUGGGUUGGAGAUGGUGCAGUGUCUGGCCAAAGCCGUUUUCAACCCCAGCGUGUUCCGUCUGCGUCUUGCUGAGUGCCGGAAUCCAAAGUCUUGGGAAACCAGCAGAGGCGCACUCCUGAGACCACCUG
Molecule: long non-coding RNA, 152 nt
Filed under: Chinchilla lanigera (long-tailed chinchilla)
Lineage: Eukaryota; Metazoa; Chordata; Mammalia; Rodentia; Chinchillidae
Description: lncRNA (ENSCLAG00000023458.1)
Source: RNAcentral